UGCUUGGGAAUCACAGAAUUCUGGCAAAGGAGAGAAAGAUGGUAAAAUGACAGCGAAGGGAGCACAAUGCCUUCGUGGUGGUGAGACCAGGACAUCCUCCCCUGCCCGGGCAGCGUGUGUCCUGUUGUGAGCACCACUUUUACUGUGUGCAAACCAGAAGCCUGAGAUGCUACUGAGCAGCCUGAGCACAUCAGGGACCAGCUGACUGAGCCGCCAGUCGAGCCGAGAUCCGGGGGCGAGGCGAAGGCUUGUCAGCUGCGGGUUUAGGGAUUUGCAGGCGGUUGGGAAGAAGAGAAAGUUGCAGCUUACCGAAACUCUCCUGCGCCGUGCCGAGCCGUGUGCGAGCCUCCCUGCCGCCCAGGCGGCGGGGUCGCUUAUAUAGCCCGGCGUGUAGCUUAGAGGAUGGCAGCGAGCCACGGACCGCGAGCACAAACAGAUCGGACGCGCGAGGAAACCGCAGCCUGAAUAAUCCCUUAAUAAGGUGAUGGUAAACAAAAACUUGCGGCGAAGCAGCAGCCACCGGGGCUGGCAGCGAUGC
Molecule: long non-coding RNA, 538 nt
Organism: Pipra filicauda (Wire-tailed manakin)
Lineage: Eukaryota; Metazoa; Chordata; Aves; Passeriformes; Pipridae
Exons: 3
Source: RefSeq, a predicted model, not a curated record